GCGCCCAUAGCUCAGUUGGUAGAGCAGCUGACUCUUAAUCAGCGGGUCCAAGGUUCGAGCCCUUGUGGGCGCACCA
RNAcentral lists this transfer RNA (76 nucleotides) under Candidatus Zixiibacteriota bacterium. Its description in RNAcentral is "tRNA-Lys". It matches the Rfam family "tRNA". From Rfam's summary of the family: Transfer RNA (tRNA) molecules are approximately 80 nucleotides in length. Their secondary structure includes four short double-helical elements and three loops (D, anti-codon, and T loops). The record is from RNAcentral. Lineage: Bacteria; Pseudomonadati; Candidatus Zixiibacteriota.